Molecule: ribosomal RNA, 520 nt
Filed under: uncultured Diversispora
Lineage: Eukaryota; Fungi; Glomeromycota; Glomeromycetes; Diversisporales; Diversisporaceae
Description: SSU rRNA
Rfam family: Eukaryotic small subunit ribosomal RNA
Source: RNAcentral
AGCAGCCGCGGUAAUUCCAGCUCCAAUAGCGUAUAUUAAAGUUGUUGCAGUUAAAAAGCUCGUAGUUGAACUUCGGGGUCUACCCAUUGGUCAGGCUUAAUUGUCUGCACUGGUGAGAUGGAUCUCUACCUUCUGAGGAACUUUCAUGCCAUUUAUUUGGUGUGAUUGGAAAUCAGAACUGUUACUUUGAAAAAAGUUAGAGUGUUUAAAGCAGACUAUCGUCUGAAUACAUUAGCAUGGAAUAAUGAAAUAGGACGGACUGAUUCUAUUUCGUUGGUUUCUAGGAUCACCGUAAUGAUUAAUAGGGAUAGUUGGGGGCAUUAGUAUUCAAUUGUCAGAGGUGAAAUUCUUGGAUUUAUUGAAGACUAACUACUGCGAAAGCAUUUUGCCAAGGAUGUUUUCAUUAAUCAAGAACGAAAGUUAGGGGAUCGAAGACGAUCAGAUACCGUCGUAGUCUUAACCAUAAACUAUGCCGACUAGGGAUCGGAUGAUGUUAAUUUUUUCAAUGACUCAUUCGGCG